RNAcentral lists this ribosomal RNA (680 nucleotides) under uncultured phototrophic eukaryote. RNAcentral describes it as "bacterial SSU rRNA". It matches the Rfam family "Bacterial small subunit ribosomal RNA", at positions 356 to 1061 of the family's 1533-position model. The record is from RNAcentral.
GGGGAAUUUUCCGCAAUGGGCGAAAGCCUGACGGAGCAAUACCGCGUGAAGGAUGAAGGCCUAUGGGUCGUAAACUUCUUUUCUCAGAGAAGAAUUUUGACGGUAUCUGAGGAAUAAGCAUCGGCUAACUCUGUGCCAGCAGCCGCGGUAAGACAGAGGAUGCAAGCGUUAUCCGGAAUGAUUGGGCGUAAAGCGUCUGUAGGUGGUUUCACAAGUCUUCUGUCAAAGAUCAGGGCUUAACCCUGGGCAGGCAGGAGAAACUAUGAGGCUUGAGUUCGGUAGGGGCAGAGGGAAUUCCCGGUGGAGCGGUGAAAUGCGUAGAUAUCGGGAGGAACACCAAAGGCGAAAGCACUCUGCUGGGCCGCGACUGACACUGAGAGACGAAAGCGAGGGGAGCAAAUGGGAUUAGAUACCCCAGUAGUCCUCGCCGUAAACGAUGGAUACUAGGUGUUGGAUGUAUCAAAUCAUUCAGUACCGUAGCUAACGCGUUAAGUAUCCCGCCUAGGGAGUAUGCUCGCAAGAGUGAAAUUCAAAGGAAUUGACGGGGGCCCGCACAAGCGGUGGAGCAUGUGGUUUAAUUCGAUGCAACGCGAAGAACCUUACCAGGAUUUGACAUGUCACUUUUUCCCUGAAAGGGGAAGUUCCAGAGUGAACACAGGUGGUGCAUGGCUUCUCAGCUC